Small nuclear RNA from Myotis lucifugus (little brown bat), 107 nucleotides. Lineage: Eukaryota; Metazoa; Chordata; Mammalia; Chiroptera; Vespertilionidae. The record is from Ensembl.
GUGCUCACUUUGGCAGCACACAUACUAACAUUGUCAACCACACAGAGAGAUUAGCGCGGUCUCUGCUCCAGGAUGACACGCAGCUGUGAAAAAGGAGUCCUUGCGAU